GGUCAAGUUAUUAAGGGUGCAGGGCGGAUGCCUUGGCACUAGGAGCCGAUGAAGGACGUGAUAAGCUGCGAUAAGCUUCGGGGAGUUGCACGUAAACUUUGAUCCGAAGAUUUCCGAAUGAGGAAACUCACUUAGAGUAAUGUCUAAGUAUCAUUAAGUGAAUACAUAGCUUAAUGAGGGGAACUCAGGGAACUGAAACAUCUAAGUACCUGAAGGAAGAGAAAGAAAUUCGAUUCCGUAAGUAGCGGCGAGCGAACGCGGAUUAGCCCAAACCAAUAAAGUUUUCUUUAUUGGGGUUGCGGACAUAUCAUAACGAAGAGGUAUCGUAAUUGAAGAGGUUUGGAAAGACCCACCACAGAAGGUAAUAGUCCUGUAUGUUAAACGAGAAGACUUUAGAUAUGAUCCAGAGUACCACGGGACACGUGAAACCCUGUGGGAAGCAGGAGGGACCACCCUCCAAGGCUAAAUACUACCUAGUGACCGAUAGCGUAUAGUACCGUGAGGGAAAGGUGAAAAGAACCCCGGGAGGGGAGUGAAAUAGAACCUGAAACCCUGCACUUACAAGCUGUGGAAGCACAUUUCUUGUGUGACCGCGUACUUUUUGUAGAACGGGCCAACGAGUUACGUUAAGUAGCAAGGUUAAGCACUUAAGGUGCGGAGCCGUAGCGAAAGCGAGUUUUAACUGAGCGUUCAGUUACUUGACGUAGACCCGAAACCGGGCGACCUACCCAUGAGCAGGAUGAAGCGAAAGUAAAAUUUCGUGGAGGUCCGAACCCACGAGCGUUGAAAAGCUCGGGGAUGACU
Molecule: ribosomal RNA, 804 nt
Filed under: Clostridioides difficile
Lineage: Bacteria; Bacillati; Bacillota; Clostridia; Peptostreptococcales; Peptostreptococcaceae
Description: partial 23S ribosomal RNA
Rfam family: Bacterial large subunit ribosomal RNA
Source: RNAcentral